UAAUAACAAAAAGAAAAGAUGGAAGAAAACUAAAAAUGGUAGAAGAUGCCACACUCAAUAGAGAUUGAUUAGUCUAAUGAGGAUUCACUGCAAAGGUAUGAGAAUCUUUUGUCAAGAUCAAUUUUAGUUUGGGAGAAUGAGAGUCCAACUAGUAACUUUAAACCUCAAAGGGAUUUACAACAAGUUGACCCACUUAUUCCGUUCUUUUUAACUAUUGUAGCCAAAAGGUUGGAAGGUUUGAUGAAGAAAGCUUAAAAAAGAGACUCUUUUUCGAUUAUUUGGUAGGAACACAAAAAGUGGAGGCUAAUUUGUUACAAUUUGCGGAUGCUAUAUUUUUUUUGGAGAGCCCACAAUGAACAAUGGUUGUUGUCAUCAAGGCAAUCAUGGGAUGCUUUGACUUGGCUUCAGAACUUGAAGUAAAUUUUAGUAAAAGUAGUUUUUGGAGGUAUGGGGAUGGAGGGAGGUGAGAUUGAGAUGUUGGCCAAUGAAAAUUGUCAUAUUUUCCUAUAUUUUGGUGUCAUUUUGGAGCUAUUAUUUGAUAUCUCUUAUGCUUUUGAACUUUGUUUAAUUUAUAUUCAUUUGAGUAAAGUUUUAAGAAAAAAAAAAGUUUAGUUUAACUAGGAUUUUCUAGUUUAUACCUUUUAUGUUUGACUUUGGUUUGUUUCCUGUGUUUUGUAGGAGCUUUGUGGAAGAAGAACCAAACAGUGGAGAUAUCCCAAGAAUGAUUUUGAUGCAUCAAGGAUCACUUUGGUUGAAGUCUAGAGCUUUGGAGGCUUUGUAGGGGCAAAAGAAAUAUUUUUUUGAAGUUUUGGAACUUCACGCACCUGUGUAAGAAUUUGUGAAAGAAGUCGCACACCUGUGCAAUGCUGAAUUUGAAGGUGAGAAAAUUGCACAGCCGUGCAAUGGAGUCGCACACCUGUGCAACGACCUUUGCGUGAAUUUUACCUUAUUUUUCAUUCUAUUUUUUUUUGGACUUGGAUUCUAUUUAGCCUAUAGCUUUAAAUAAGGAUAUGUUGCCCUAGUCAAGGGAGUGUCACUUUUAUGUUAGAGAGAGAGCAAGAGACAUCGAGAUGUUCUUGAUGAUUUUGGAUGUGGAGGGAUUUGUUCUCCAUUGUUUCUUCAUCAAGUGCUUCUUCCUCCAAGGCUACUAG
This 1151-nucleotide long non-coding RNA is filed under the name Glycine max (soybean). Its description in RNAcentral is "long non-coding RNA (GMAX_LNC003474)". The record is from RNAcentral. Lineage: Eukaryota; Viridiplantae; Streptophyta; Magnoliopsida; Fabales; Fabaceae.